This 253-nucleotide ribosomal RNA is filed under the name uncultured bacterium. RNAcentral's name for it is "partial 16S ribosomal RNA". It matches the Rfam family "Bacterial small subunit ribosomal RNA", at positions 524 to 776 of the family's 1533-position model. The record is from RNAcentral.
UACGUAGGGUGCAAGCGUUGUCCGGAAUUAUUGGGCGUAAAGAGCUUGUAGGCGGUUUGUCGCGUCUGCUGUGAAAUUUCGGGGCUCAACCCCGAACUUGCAGUGGGUACGGGCAGGCUAGAGUGUGGUAGGGGAGACUGGAAUUCCUGGUGUAGCGGUGAAAUGCGCAGAUAUCAGGAGGAACACCGGUGGCGAAGGCGGCGACCUGGGUCGAGACUGACGCUGAGGCGCGAAAGCGUGGGGAGCAAACAGG